Molecule: ribosomal RNA, 175 nt
Filed under: uncultured bacterium
Lineage: Bacteria
Description: partial 16S ribosomal RNA
Rfam family: Bacterial small subunit ribosomal RNA
Source: RNAcentral
UGAGGAACAUGACCUUCGGCGGGGGAGUAGCCGGCCCAACGGCCGGGUAAUACCGCGUACGACCUCUCGGGGACAUCCCGGUUGGUGAAAGCAGCAAUGCACCGAAAGAGUGCCUCGCGGCCUAUCAGCUAGUUGGUGAGGUAACGGCUCACCAAGGCGACGACGGGUAGCUGGU